Molecule: long non-coding RNA, 1290 nt
Organism: Hippopotamus amphibius kiboko
Lineage: Eukaryota; Metazoa; Chordata; Mammalia; Artiodactyla; Hippopotamidae
Exons: 4
Source: RefSeq, a predicted model, not a curated record
AACAUCUCUCCUGGCCCACUCUACCUGGAAACACACAGAGGGGUGAACUCUGGGGCAUGAGCUUCCACCCACCCAAGUCACCACAUUAAAAAGCCACCUCAAGUUUGAGGGUGGGGCUCGAGAAUUUGCAGUUCAGGUAAGCUCCCAGGCGAUGCUCACACUGCAACUCUGUGGACCGGGCUGAGGCUCACACCCUAACACGUGCCUGGUAGGGCCCUCGUGCAGGACCGCCUCAGCAAUUGCAUCUACCUGAUCCCCGCCACCACAUACCAGGUGUGUCCCCAAUUUUUAUGACAACCGCAAAUCCCCACCUCCAGUUUCCAAAAUGCUUCUUUGAGAACUGACACGUUCCCCAGGGAGGAACUCCUGGGGUUCUCUCAGCAAUUCUAGGAAGAUGCUCCAGAGAAUCCCUUAAAGGCACCAAAAGAAAAUCAGCAGUUCACACUGAUAUCAGCACAGGAUCCACUCUGGCUCAGCUGUGGGCAGCGGGAGAGGAGACUCCACAGCAUGGAAGGCAGAGAAAGUUCAGGAACUGUUUUGGCCUCACCAAAAAUUCACGGAUAAGAGAAAGACCAAGCAGCUAUUUGGAGAGGAUGAAAGAGGAGGAAGCAAGAAAUGCAGCAAUUAGCGAACGUAGAAAAGCAGGAGAAAUAUUCCCCCUCUUCUACCAAAGAGGAAACUGAGGCACAGAGGAUCAGCAGAGAAGGAACCAAUCAAGUCGAGAAAUGUGACAGAAAAAGCCUCAGCUUUCAGACCUUCCAUUCCUAUGCUCUGUUCUUGGGGUUUGACUCUGACCACUAAGAUGAUUGGCUCCUAGAAAAUGAGGGGCUUCUCUCCCGUGUGGAUUCCCUGAUGCGUGUUCAGGCUGGACCGGUUGCCGAAGCUCUUCCCACACUCGGAGCACGAGUAUGGUUUCUCUCCCGUAAACUCGACAAACUCUCUACUGCCCACUACUUAGCAAACGUUUGGGUGAAACGAAUCAUGAGGAAGGACUGCUGGAAGAAUACGCGUUCCCUUCCUUAAAUGAGAGACUCUAAAGUCUAUCCCAGGAUUAAGCCAGAACAGUGGAGCUGUGGGCCUGGAUCACGCUGUUCUGACACAGGCAGAACUGUGUUCACUGAACUGCGUAUUGGUUUAAUGGCUCUGGCUGACACUGAUGAACACUCUAAGAAGUGUCAUUAGAAAUUAAUGGCAGACUUCCCCUGUGGUCCAGUGGUUAAGACUCCGUGCUUCCAGACAUAUAUAUACUACCAACUGUAAAAUAGUCAGUGGGAAGUUGUUGUAUAACAA